Long non-coding RNA from Episyrphus balteatus (marmalade hoverfly), 1308 nucleotides. RefSeq lists it as uncharacterized. The transcript is spliced from 6 exons. The record is from RefSeq and is a predicted model, not a curated record. NCBI's taxonomy places the organism in Eukaryota, Metazoa, Arthropoda, Insecta, Diptera, Syrphidae.
CCUUCAGAUAUGUUUCAAACAUCAGCCUAAUCAAACGUGUGUGCAAUAUUUAUAAAUACUCUUCGCAAUCAUGGAAAACGACGAAGAGAAAAAGGAUAAACCUAAUCCGUUUAAAAAUGAUCAAUGGAAAAGAGCAGCAAUAUACACAAGAGCUGUAAAUGCAUUUCGAGAUACAAUAUCGAUCAAUAGUGAAGCUGCAUCGGAAUUCGAUACAAGAAAACAGAUUAAAUAUGGUACAAAAUAUCAAGCUGCAUGGGGAAUUAUUACGGAAUAUUGUGAUAAUAGUACGAUUCAUGGCAUCAGAUAUAUGGGCGAAAUGAAACGCCCAAUACUUGAAAGCUAAGUCGGACAUAAAGCUUAAAACAACGCCAAUGCUAUUAUCAGAAUGAACCGCAGUUGAUGUAUUUCACAGUCUACACUCUACACUCAGGCCAAUUGUGAAUUGGAAUGGGUGAAUAAUGCUACCCCAUUAGAAUGUGGAUGUAUAAAAAUUGGAAUGUCAAGAAAUACUACUCAUCGCGUUUGUGGAUACGAAAGUGAUUAUUGCGUUGACCUUAUUACAGCUUACAGUAGCACUAUGGCAUUUAGAAAAGAAAAAAAUAUGGAAUUGGAGCAUAUUUGUAAAGAUAGAGGUUCUUGUAAAACUUUUUGUCUACCAACAUGCUUCAGCAUUGAGUAUAAUGCAGAAAUUAAACAUCAAAAUGAAAUAGAUUAUGCUCAGGUAUUGAAAACUAAUGUAGACCCUUACUCCAAUUUUACGUACAAUUAUUCAAAAACUCGAAUAAGUCAAGUAAGAAUUCACUUCAAUGACCAUCAAUUCAAUGGUUUAAAACGGUCCGAAUUGUAUAGCACAACAGAUUUAAUUGCAAAUUGUGGAGGUUUAAUGGGACUUUUUAUGGGUGUUUCGAUUUUGAGUAUGGUGGAAUUUGUAUACUUUUUUACAUUGAGAUUAUUGACGAAUUGGAAAAAUACUACCAAAAUACAAGAGAAUAAAAGCAAUGGAAAUAAUGCUUUUUGGACCCGUUCCGUUCACCACCCAAAGAUUUUUAAAAUCCAUCAGUCGAAACCGAAUUCAAGUAUUCGAUUUAGGAAACGAAAAUCUAUCAAUAGGUAUUGAGUUUUGAUUAUGCGAGUAUUAAUGCUGGGUAACAGAACUGGGUUUUCAGAACAAUUUUAAGAAAUACUCUAUGAAAAAAAAAACAUUUUUUUUAUUGGAUUUAUAAUUGCAUGGACAUUUUAUAAAAGACAUCAACAAACUGGGCUUAAAUUACUGAAUUUUCUUAUUUUAUCUUAAUAUUUUAAGCGCAC